UACGUAGGGGGCAAGCGUUGUCCGGAAUCAUUGGGCGUAAAGCGCGUGUAGGCGGCCCGGUAAGUCCGCUGUGAAAGUCGGGGGCUCAACCCUCGGAUGCCGGUGGAUACUGUCGGGCUCGAGUACGGAAGAGGCGAGUGGAAUUCCUGGUGUAGCGGUGAAAUGCGCAGAUAUCAGGAGGAACACCGAUUGCGAAGGCAGCUCGCUGGGACGUUACUGACGCUGAGACGCGAAAGCGUGGGGAGCAAACAGG
This 253-nucleotide ribosomal RNA is filed under the name uncultured bacterium. RNAcentral describes it as "partial 16S ribosomal RNA". It matches the Rfam family "Bacterial small subunit ribosomal RNA", at positions 524 to 776 of the family's 1533-position model. The record is from RNAcentral.